This 446-nucleotide ribosomal RNA is filed under the name uncultured bacterium. Its description in RNAcentral is "SSU rRNA". It matches the Rfam family "Bacterial small subunit ribosomal RNA", at positions 26 to 518 of the family's 1533-position model. The record is from RNAcentral.
AGAGCGAACGCUGGCGGCAGGCCUAACACAUGCAAGUCGAGCGCCCGUAGCAAUACGGGAGCGGCAGACGGGAGAGUAACACGUGGGAACGUACCCUUUGGUUCGGAACAACACAGGGAAACCUGUGCUAAAUACCGGAUAAGCCCUUACGGGGAAAGAUUUAUUGCCAAAGGAUCGGCCCGCGUCUGAUUAGCUUGUUGGUGAGGUAACGGCUCACCAAGGCUACGAUCAGUAGCUGGUCUGAGAGGAUGAUCAGCCUCACUGGGACUGAGACACGGCCCAGACUCCUACGGGAGGCAGCAGUGGGGAAUAUUGGACAAUGGGCGCAAGCCUGAUCCAGCCAUGCCGCGUGGAUGAUGAAGGCCCUAGGGUUGUAAAGUCCUUUCGACGGGGAAGAUAAUGACGGUACCGUAGAAGAAGCCCGGCUAACUCGUGCCAGCAGCCGC